Molecule: long non-coding RNA, 1161 nt
Filed under: Homo sapiens (human)
Lineage: Eukaryota; Metazoa; Chordata; Mammalia; Primates; Hominidae
Description: PREDICTED lncRNA (TCONS_00149441)
Source: RNAcentral
UAUUUUGUUUUGUGUCCCUCCUCCCCCAACUGGAAUGUAAAUUCUAGGAAGGCAAAGAUUUUUGCUUAGUUUUGUUUACUACUCUCUCUCUCCAGGACCUGUGGUAUUGCCUGGCAUAGAAGGAUACUCAGUGAACAUUUGUUGAGUGAAUGCCAUUUUCCAUCUGAGUGAGAUACUGUUUUUAAGAGUUUGUGUCUAUUUCAGCACAUGAAGGAAUUGCUGUCUGCAAUUUCCUUGAGAAAAAUCUUAUGGGAAAAUAGGGACAAUUUUCUUUUCUUUUCUUUCCUUUUUUAAGACGGGGUUUUGCUCUGUCGUCUAGGCUGGAAUGCAGUGGCGUUAUCCUGGCUCAUUACAACCUCUGCCUCCUAAGUUGAAGCGAUUCUUGUGCCUCAGCCUCCUGAGUAGCUGGGAUUACAGGCAUGCACCUCCACGCCUGGCUAAUUUCUGUAUUUUUAGUAGAGACGGGGUUUUGCCAUGUGGGCUAUGCUGGUUUCAAACUCCUGAGCUCAAGUGAUCCUCCCACCUUGGCCUCCCAAAGUGCUAGGAUUACAGUUUGACUUUGAAGGAUCACUUUCCCCUGUCAUUGCACCCAAAAAAGCAAGGCCUUCUGAGACUGGAUCUGAUGAUGUGGGGUCUCACUCUGUCACCCAGCUGGAUGCAGUGGCGCUAUCUCGACUCACUGCAACUUCCGCCUCCCCAGCUCAAGCGAUCCUCCCACCUCAGUCUCCCGAGUAGUUGGGACCACAGGUGUACCCACCACACCUGCUGUUUUGUUCUGUUUUGUUUUUAUUUUUGGUAGAGACUGGGUUUCACCAUGUUGCCCAGGCUGUUCUUGAACUCCUGGGCUCAAGUGAUUUCCCCGCCUCCACUUCCCAAAGUGUUGGGAUUAUAGGCGUGAGCCACUGCACUGGCCAUUAUUUUAUUUUUGAGACAAGGUCUCUUUCUGUCUCCCAGGCUGGAGUGCUGUGGCAGGAUCGUGGCUCACUGCAGCGUUGACGUCCUGGGCUCAAUCCAUCCUCCCACCUUAGCCUCCUGGGUAGCUGAGACUACAGGCAUGCCAGCUACAGGCAUGCGCCACCAUGCCCGGCUUUUUUCUUUAAUGUAGAGACGGGGUCUUACCAUGUUACCCAGGCUGGUCUCCAACUCCUGGGCUCAAGUGAU